This 253-nucleotide ribosomal RNA is filed under the name uncultured bacterium. RNAcentral's name for it is "partial 16S ribosomal RNA". It matches the Rfam family "Bacterial small subunit ribosomal RNA", at positions 524 to 776 of the family's 1533-position model. The record is from RNAcentral.
AACGUAGGACGCAAGCGUUAUCCGGAGUUACUGGGCGUAAAGCGCGGGCAGGCGGUCUUGCCAGUCUGAUGUGAAAUCUCUCAGCUCAACUGGGAGCAGCCAUUGGAAACUACAAGACUGGAGUCUGACAGAGGUAGGCGGAAUUCCGGGUGGAGUGGUGAAAUGCGUAGAGAUCCGGAGGAACACCAGAGGCGAAGGCGGCCUACUGGGUCAGUACUGACGCUGAGCCGCGAAAGCGUGGGGAGCAAACAGG